This 571-nucleotide ribosomal RNA is filed under the name Striuntius lateristriga (spinner barb). RNAcentral describes it as "partial 16S ribosomal RNA". It matches the Rfam family "Bacterial large subunit ribosomal RNA", at positions 1844 to 2607 of the family's 2925-position model. Lineage: Eukaryota; Metazoa; Chordata; Actinopteri; Cypriniformes; Cyprinidae. The record is from RNAcentral.
UAUAAGAGGUCCAGCCUGCCCAGUGACCAAAAGUUUAACGGCCGCGGUAUUUUAACCGUGCAAAGGUAGCGCAAUCACUUGUCUUUUAAAUAAAGACCUGUAUGAAUGGCCAAACGAGGGCUUAACUGUCUCCCUUAUCAAGUCAGUAAAAUUGAUCUACCCGUGCAGAAGCGGGUAUAAACAUACAAGACGAGAAGACCCUUUGGAGCUUAAGGUAAAAAAUCACCCACGUCAAGCAGCUUAAUAAAGCAACUCCUAAACCUUGUGGAUUAUGAAAUAAUACCUUCGGUUGGGGCGACCAUGGAGAAAAAGAAAACCUCCAAGUGGAAUGAGACCACNCCCUCAAAACUAAGAGAGACAUCUCUAAGCCACAGAACAUCUGACCAUAAAUGAUCCGGCUAACUAACAGCCGAUCAACGAACCAAGUUACCCCAGGGAUAACAGCGCAAUCCUCUCCCAGAGACCAUAUCGACGAGAGGGUUUACGACCUCGAUGUUGGAUCAGGACAUCCUAAUGGUGCAGCCGCUAUUAAGGGUUCGUUUGUUCAACGAUUAAAGUCCUACGUGAUCUG